Molecule: long non-coding RNA, 2026 nt
Organism: Sardina pilchardus (European sardine)
Lineage: Eukaryota; Metazoa; Chordata; Actinopteri; Clupeiformes; Clupeidae
Exons: 3
Source: RefSeq, a predicted model, not a curated record
GCUAAGCUUUGUUACGGUGUCUUACGGAAUGUGGCUGUAAACUGAAUAAACCUGAAAAACUGCAAGAAAAAUCCAUUUCAGAGUAUAGACCUACAGCUGGUACUGUACCAAAACAGCAAACCAGACAAAUGACAACAACUGCCUCAAACAAAGGCAGAAGUAACAGUUUGACCGAGAUGCUACGGAAACAGCAGACUAAACUUUAAGCAAUGAUCAAUGGACCUUGGUGUCAAAAAGUGUCCCACCUGUUCUUCAGUCCUGCACAUUGUCCAGGGAACAGACUGGCUGGCCAAUCCAGUGGCUCAGUGUGCCAAUUGCCCCACCAAGCCCUACCUCUGUGCCACCUGCCUCUCUCCCUGGCAAGGCCCUCCUGGGGUGCUGGGCCACUGUGCCAACCAGAGGUGUGCAGUGGUGGGAACCCUCCUCACCUGUGGGCUGAUCACCGACCCAAACAGCCCAGUAUGGGGCUGUCCAGAGUUCCGUGCUUGUCCCAAAUGCUUUAAUCUACUGAUGCAUGACAACGAAGGCUGCAACGAUGUUACCUGCCUGCAGUGCGGCCAUGAUUUCUGCUACAUCUGCUUGAGAAGCCCUGAAGAAUGUGAAUCUCAUACUCACUGUAAAACAGCUGCGCGACAGCGAUUCCAUGUGUAACUAGGAACAACGGAUGCCCUUCCCUAAACACAUGAUCAAGAACAGCCACUGGCCGCACAACCCUUAUAGCAAUUUAAUCUGCUAUUGAAGGUGAUUAGGACAUGCAUGUUCAGUUAAUCAAACAUGAACAUGCAUGAACAUUAGCUUUAGGGGGAUUGAUUAAUAAGCCCCCAGAUGUCCAGCGAGCAGAUCUAAUUACAAUGUAAACACCUAUAUUUCAGAUACCAUGUGCCAUAGAUUGACACCAUGGUAAUGGUUUCAAAUGAUGUCGGAAAUUACAUGUAAGUGGAAGUUUAGCAGCACUACAGAAUACAAUCUGCACUCAUAUUUCCAAAUGAUCUUUCUGACAAAAUCCUCAAGGGUCGUCAGUGACAUAGCCGCCAGUGACAUACCCAAAGGAAGUAAAAACAUUUGAGAGAAGGCUACUCACCUUAUGCCAAGGGAAGCAGUACAAACGCUUAAGCGAACGAGGACAACUGUCCCUGAGAAAAGAAAAAAGAAUAAGCAAAAUGCUGCUGAUGUAUAUUUAUUUGAUUAUGCAUAUCAUUUGUUUAUUUAUAAAGAAAUCCUGACUGGAAACACUUACACAAGCUUCUUCAGCAUGAAUUUUGCACCAGUAACAUAAUCAAUUGGAUUAGGCUACCAAAAACAUGUAACGCAACCUGAUAACUUUAGAAUUACUUUUGCACAACAUAUAUAUUUUUAUUUUCCACCGUCUUUAGUUGUGGUGAUAUUGGCAAGUACUGAACGCAUUUGUCCCGACUGAAACGUGUCUAUUGGUCGACGGUGACAGCCCCUCCGAUUUGGGUUUUGAUUUAAACCGUCUUGUCAAGAAACUACACAAGCAAUUGGAUGAUAGUCACAUAGAGUGGACAAACAAAUGGGCUGCUUGACCUAAAUAUGCAUGGAUCAGUAUGGGGCUUGUAAGGUGGUACAGUAGUACCACAAGAACAGUUAUUCACCCCUAAUAAUACUUAUCAAAGAUGGUCUAUUCAAAUGGAACUAGACACUAAACUACAAGUGCUAAUGGUAUACAAAUAACUCAUAAUUAAUUAUUUAUAAUAUACCAAAUAUGUUCCCUAUUCUAAAGUUGGGUCUUUGUUCACAUUUAAUCAACAAUUAAUUUGGCCCUUAUUGACCCCCAUGUGUUCCCUAAAAUAAAGUUGCCUUCUAUUCACACUUAUUUACUGUUUAAGCACUUGUGGUUUAGUGUCUAGUCCAUUUGAAUAGACCAUCUUUGAUAAGUAUUAUUUGGGUUGAAUAACUGUUAUUGUGGUUCUACCACCGUACAAGCCCCAUACUGAGCCAUGCAUAUUUAGGUCAUAAUUCAUAUGCAACAACGUAUUUAAUAACUAUGAAUAAAGGGUAAUUAGGU